Molecule: ribosomal RNA, 518 nt
Filed under: Pseudo-nitzschia fraudulenta
Lineage: Eukaryota; Bacillariophyta; Bacillariophyceae; Bacillariales; Bacillariaceae
Description: partial Bacterial large subunit ribosomal RNA
Rfam family: Bacterial large subunit ribosomal RNA
Source: RNAcentral
GACUGCGUACCUUUUGUAUAAUGGGUCAGCGACUUAUAUUUAGUAGCAAGGUUAAGUGAAUAACGGAGCCGUAGCGAAAGCGAGUGUUAACUGCGCGUUUAGUUGCUAGGUAUAGACCCGAAACCCGGUGAUCUAGCCAUGGGCAGGUUGAAGGUUGAGUAACAUCAACUGGAGGACCGAACCCACUAACGUUGAAAAGUUAGGGGAUGACUUGUGGCUGGGGGUGAAAGGCCAAUCAAACCGGGAGAUAGCUGGUUCUCCCCGAAAGCUAUUUAGGUAGCGCCUCGGACGAAUACCACAGGGGGUAGAGCACUGUUUCGGCUAGGGGGUCAUCCCGACUUACCAACCCCAUGCAAACUCCGAAUACCGUAGAGUACUAUCCGGGAGACACACGGCGGGGGCUAACGUCCGUCGUGAAAAGGGAAACAACCCUGACCUCCAGCUAAGGCCCCUAAUUCAUGGCUAAGUGGGAAAGCAGGUGGGAUGUCCAAAACAACCAGGAAGUUGGCUUAGAAGCA